UUAUUUGAGAGUUUGAUCCUGGCUCAGGAUGAACGCUGGCGGCGUGCCUAACACAUGCAAGUUGAGCGAUUUACUUCGGUAAAGAGCGGCGGACGGGUGAGUAACGCGUGGGUAACCUACCCUGUACACACGGAUAACAUACCGAAAGGUAUGCUAAUACGGGAUAAUAUAUUUGAGAGGCAUCUCUUGAAUAUCAAAGGUGAGCCAGUACAGGAUGGACCCGCG
Molecule: ribosomal RNA, 225 nt
Filed under: Clostridioides difficile
Lineage: Bacteria; Bacillati; Bacillota; Clostridia; Peptostreptococcales; Peptostreptococcaceae
Description: partial 16S ribosomal RNA
Rfam family: Bacterial small subunit ribosomal RNA
Source: RNAcentral